UGCGUAGGCGGUCUAGCAAGUCAGAAGUGAAAGGCAUUGGCUCAACCAAUGUAAGCUUUUGAAACUGUUAGACUUGAGUGCAGGAGAGGAAAGUGGAAUUCCUAGUGUAGCGGUGAAAUGCGUAGAUAUUAGGAGGAACACCAGUGGCGAAGGCGACCUUCUGGACUGUAACUGACGCUGAGGCACGAAAGCGUGGGGAGCGAACA
Molecule: ribosomal RNA, 206 nt
Filed under: uncultured bacterium
Lineage: Bacteria
Description: partial 16S ribosomal RNA
Rfam family: Bacterial small subunit ribosomal RNA
Source: RNAcentral